GCGAACGAGACCUCAAUGUAAUAUAGACGUAUAACGAACGAGUAUUUGCUUAAAACCUCCUUGUUUCCUUAUCAGUCGGACUAUCGACGGCGACCAAUACCUGAUACGAUAAUCUUAUCUACCUGUCUCCAUUUUUUAUUGAAGUUUAGAACCAGUGAAGUAAAAUCAGUCAAAAUGUUGGGUCCUUUGGCUAGAAUUUCAAACCAAUCUGGCAGAAAUGUGAUGAAGAGUUUCGUAAGGAACGGUUCCCAUGGCGGGAUUCCCGGGGAGAACCUUCCUUUCGACAUCUACAAUCGCACUCGUCUGACUUUCAACCUCUUCUGGUACGUCGGAACCGGCAUCGCAGCUCCCUUCAUCGUCCUGUGGCACCAGAUGAACAAGAAGUAAACUUGAUUCAUUCCAGCCGUCGUUAAACCUAAUUAUUAGUAAAAUAAUUUCGUUAUUAACUAUGUAGAUCAAUCUCAAAUAUAUAACACAAAAAAACA
Trichoplusia ni (cabbage looper) is the source of this 485-nucleotide long non-coding RNA. RefSeq lists it as uncharacterized. The record is from RefSeq and is a predicted model, not a curated record. NCBI's taxonomy places the organism in Eukaryota, Metazoa, Arthropoda, Insecta, Lepidoptera, Noctuidae. The transcript has 3 exons.